GAAUCCAGAAUGUGUUCAGGUAAAUUGCUAAUUCUAUCAAUCUCACCAUUGCACUGUUGUUCAGACAGUUUUUGCUUUUUAGAAUUUUCUGCAGAAGCACUUGUUUCCAUGACUAAGGAAACCCAGAAGCUAUACUGUAAUAUCCAAGAACAAAAGAACUUAUGACUGAUGAACAGUAGUGUAUGCUCAAAGCAUAAAAGGAAAGGCACAAACAUUGCAGAUAUCUCUCUUCUUUUAAGUUUUCUCUAUCUGAAUGUCGAAGACAUAUUACUUAUUUAUCAAAAAUGUUUCUAAAUUGAUAUGUAUAAUUAUUAUAUAUUUUCCAAGAUGUUUUGCAUUUCUAAGAUUUCCAUAUUACUGAGUAAAUAAUCAAAUUAAUUUUAGGCUGAACUCCAAGUUAAUUAAUUCCAUAAUGUAGAACAAGAUAAUUAUAUUUUAAGUAAAUAAAUAAAUGUAGCAAACAAAAAUAAUCAAGCUGGUUUCCUUUUAAUAGUAACAAAACUGUAUCAAACCAUCUUUAUGGUUAGAGUAUCAAUGAAUAAGGUAAUCUAAAAUUAUCAUUAUUUUAUAUAUAAAUUGAAUUAUCAAUUAGGGUUAGAGUUCAUUAUUAGUGGCAAAAAAAAUUAGAGUUCAUUAAACUUUAGAUCAUUUCGUCAUGUGAUAUAUUAGUUUCAAGAGUUAUUUACAAAUCCUCUAUAUUAAGUAAAAUGAUAUAUAAUUCAAUCGAUCUCACUUAUUGAGAAAAAUGAAAACAUUUGGAGGUAUGAAGAAGUGAAGUGAAGAACUACAAUAAAAUUAAUAAUAAUGAAUAAUCUCAGCUCAAAUAUAUGUGUAGAAGAACAUAGAUGACAGUAUUCACCAGAGCUUGGACGUUUGGUUGCAGAUCGAGAAGAAAGAGGGAAAUCCAAAAUUUUAGUUUUUUAACGAGGGAAAAGUUUUGUAGUGGUAAAAAAACAAGUGGGCUGGAUUUAGUUUCUUAACGAGGGAAAAGUUUUGUAGUGGUAAAAAAUCAAGUGGGCUGGAUGUAACGAAAUACAGGCCCUUUUAGAUAGAGCCCAGCCCAACAAAGAAAGCCAGGUGUGGUGUUUGAUGAUAAGUAGGGUUCUUUCAACUAUAAAUUAUUGUUUCUCUUUUUAUUCUUCCAUCUAAUUAGGGUUUCUUCUUCAUAUCCAUUCUAACACCACACCACCAAUAACAUGAGGGCUAAGGUAACAACAACAUCUUCAACUCUCUCUAUCCCUUAAAAUUGUUGUUGAAAUUGAUAUAUUGUGUGAUUUCUCUAUCUUUUAAAAUUGUUGUUAAAAUUGAUAUAUUGUGUGAUUUGUUUGUUUGUUAUUUGAUUUAUACAACAGUGGAAGAAGAAGCGAAUGAGGAGAUUGAAGAGGAAGCGUCGAAAGAUGAGACAGAGAUCCAAGUAGAUUGAUCGAAAUCAAAGUUUUAUGUUUUUGUUUUUGUUUUAGAUCGGCUUAGGUAUCGGUAGAUAUAUGUAUCGGUAUCGGAGUUUUCUUUUUAGCUCGGAAACGAUUUCACCUUCGGUUGAUGAGUCGGAAUAGCUACCAAAAUAGUGGUUUUAUGUUUAUCGUAAUUUGUAUCGGAUUUUAUGGUUUUUUCGUAAUAUCGGAAGAAUCGGAUUAGUAGCUUAUGGUUAUUUGGCUUAAUGUUUGAUUUGAUUAAUUAGUUUGAUUUAGUUUUUAACUUUUUAUUAAAUAGAGAAGAUAGCAUGGCCUGAGAUUAAGAUUAGUUUCAUAAUUCCUUUAUUCAUGAUUUGCCCCUUGUAUGCGGUUUUUAUUUAAGCAAUUUUUAUCACUAGAAUUAGUCAUGCUUUCACACUAAAAACCUUCACAUGAUAGUUGCCUAUAGUUUUUAUCUGCUUGUAAAGUUGUAUGCCAUGGUCUAUUAUGGAUUGAAUGGUCUAAAAGUUUGAAGCAUGUUUCAAACUUCUGAUGUACUUAGUCCGAUAUGGUCAUGGGAAUAUAGGAAUGUUAUGGUAGUUCUUGUUGUUUCCGGCUUGCUUGUUAAAUGUUGGUUUAUUGCAUUUUGUUGUUGUUGUAGAAGACACAAUAUUGUAGUGCCUGUUUAGGCUGUAUCAUAAUGCAGGCAUACAUUAUCUGAGCCUUUCUGCAAGCCUUACUCUUUGCCAUCAUAGAGUUUGUAUUUUAUGUUUCCUGUUAGGUUUGAGGCACAUUCGCUGAUAACACCUUGAGUUGGCAUACUGCCCUACCAUGUCAAGGUUUGGAAAUAAAGAAAACCUUUAAGCAUGUUUUUGUUUCUAAAUGUUGCAUUGUACCGUUUUUGUAUAGAGGAGUAAGGAGGUGCAGUUUUUACUUCACCGAUGUGCCUAUUCUUACUCCGGGAGUACUGUUAAUUUCUAUUACUUGUGAUGCUGGCAAACAUGCCUUGUUAGUUGUUACAAUGGAUUGGAUCCAUCUGUGAUUAAAUGUGAUUUGUUAAGCUAUGGAUGGGCAGAAUUGGUUGUCAUUUGGUUUGCUAAAAUGCUAAGUACUGUACUUUAAACAGUUCCUAAGAGCAAUCCCAAUGGGAGGGCAGUUUGGUGCCCUCCACGUAGGUGUAGGUUUGGGGAUGACUCUAGUUAUUAGGUGGUAAACAUUUGUAUUUUUGCAACCCAACCAACCCAACAAAGCAGGGCCUAUAGCAACUUAGAGCAUUCCCAAUGGAGGGUGGAUAAAUCCACCUCUACGUAGGUGCCACGUAGGUCCACCUAGGCAAAAUCCACCUCAAAGAGAGAGGUGUAUUUGCACUUGGGUGGUAGUUUCCCAACGCAGAGUGGACUCUUUGGUAUAGAAAGUGGAUUUUUUUAAAAAUCCGGACGGCAUGUCACAUGUCGUCCCAUUUUUUUUUGCAAAAAAAUAGGGAGACGGCAUGUCACAUGCCGUCCGAGAGUCCAAAAUUUUAAAACACUACUUAAAACUUAAAAAAACAAACGGAUGCCGUCCGAGAGUCCAAAAAUUUUAAAACACUACUUAAAACUUAAAAAAACAAACGGACGGCAUGUAAGGAUUUAUCCACCUUCAAAUCCACCUUCAAAUCCACCUUCAAAUCCACCUUCAAAUCCACCUGUGGGCAGCCCACCUCCGAAAUCCACCUCCCCUUGGGAAGCUCUUUUUGUCUACAAGGUGGAUUUAUCCACCCCACCUCCAAAAUCCACCUUGCAUUGGGAAUGCUCUUAUGUGUUUCAUUUUGAUGAAUAGGUCUAAUAACAGUUGGGUUUUUAUACUUUUUAUGUUUCUCUAGCCAGUCUUAUUCGCAGUCUUAAGUGGCCAUUGUCUUGUGUGCCAGAGUAGCACACUGCGUGAAUAACCUUGAGAUGAUAGUGGGAGCAUAUGCACUGGGGUACAACAGUAAAUCUUUUUAUUUGAAUGCACAAUGUAGCUUAGGACACAAUCAACUCACUUUAUGUCUCUAUCCAUAGUCGUGCAAUUGUGUAUACGGAAUAAUUCUAUGCUUACAAACUUUUUUCACAAACUACCUCCACAAACUGAUGGGGAUUCAACCGAUAAAUAAAUCAGAAUUUUCUUAUGUACUCUUUUUUAGUUCUUUCCAUGAAACCGAAACUCUUUUGCAAGCAUCUCUCUUCUCUCUUUUUUUUUUUUUUUUUUUUUGUUAUUUUUUUAAUUAUAAUUAAUAAACUCAACGAAUUACACAAAAGUAGAGGACAAACGCGCUACAAACUGCGCGGAAAGUCCAUUCUGGAUAGCAAACUCGAUUCUCCUAAAUACAUAUUCGUUCAAACCUGCAGUCAUCACGUUACUUUUUUUUUGUGUGGAGUUAUUUUAUUUCUCACUAGUCCAGAAUUUGAAAAUAAAUAUCUUAUUAAUCCCAUAAUCAAUUUUAUACGAUAUUAUUAAAUCUUUCAUUGGUAUAAUAAAGGAAGAAGAUGAUUUUAUCUCGAAAACUUGUGAUAAAAGGAAAGAACAAUGGGUGCUUAGGGGUAAUUUACCUCUUUAAUUAUUUCAUUAACUCUACCCUAACUGGUGCUUAGGGGUAAUUUAUAAAUCUCACUAAUAAAUUUUUUUUAUUCUUCACACAAUUAGGAAAAUCCUUUUGAUUUUGAUUCAUUCCUAAAACAAUAUUCAUAUUAACAACCAAUUUUUUUUUUCAAUUUCCUCUAGUUUUACUACUAUUUAUAUCUAAAAUUUUAAAAAUAUUGACAAUGAUUAUUCAAUUAUUCAUUAAAAUAAAAAAUUGACAGAAGAUUGAUCAUGUUUAUUUUGCAAGAGUUCCCAUUCCUGAUGCACAAUGAUUUUCGAGUCUAUACUGUUAUAAUCUUAUGAGUUCCUUAUAUAGUGGGGAAAAAAAAAGAAUGAGACAGAGUAAGAAUCAAAACAUAACUUGUUAGAUAUUUUGUAUAUUCUUUAUUUUCUUAUUUGUAGGUGGAUAUACAAAUUUGUAAAGAUAUUAAUUAAUUAUUGAUAACAACUGUAUUUAUAUAUGUAUGGUUAUUGAGGAUAAUUAAGUAAACUUUGAAAAUAAUCAUUGGCAAGAUCAAUUUUGCUCUUGGCAAAAUCUGGAACCUUAAUAUUAGACAAACUACUAAACAAAAGAUUUUUGAAAAUUUGAAGAAGAGAAUGCAUGUAAUAUAUAUUAGAAUUUACAGUUUUAGUUUGCUAUAAUUUGAGUAAGAGUGAAAGCUUGGGUGAGAGAGAGAGAGGGAAAAAAAGUGUGUUUUUUUUUUUUGUGAUGAGAUCUGACGCAAAAUUUUUAAUUACGUGGACAAACCACCUCAGUUGACACGUUUGUUUGUAGAAGAAGUUCGUGGGGUUUCUUAGUGAGAGCAUUCCCAAUGGUAAAAGGCUUUUAGGGGUGCCACAUAAGAGAGAGGGAGAAGGUUUUUAGGAUAGACUUGAUAUUAAAAGUAAUUUAUGGUUUUAGAGUUGCCAAUGGUUGAGUGUUAAAAGCUUAAAAUUUCACUUUCCCAAAGACAUGAUGGCUGUGCUUGUUUCCCCGGAAGUUAUGGGGAAACGAAAACGGAAAGAUUUUAAAUUUUAAGAAAGGUAACAAAUUUUCAAAACUUUCCAUUUAUAACCAGGAUUGUUGCUUGAUUACCAGAUCAAUAAAAAAGGAAAAAAAAGACGUGGCGAGAUUAUAAGCUUUGGGGACCGGUGGGGACCAUAAAUUAGAGACGUGAUUUUCUGUUUUGCAUAGAUUUCCUGGUUUAUCAAAACUGCAAUUUUUGCUGACGUGUUUUACAUUUUAAAAACCUUUUUACAGUGGGACCCAUAUCAACUGAAAUCACCAAGCACCUGGAAAAACAAAAAAUCAGCAAAUCGCUGACGUGGUUUUCCAUUCCAGUUUUUUUCCUAGAGAACAAGCACGGCCGAUGUAUAAAAUUUAACUUUGAAUUAACUAACUAAUCCUAUGUGGCACUUUUAACUCUCGGCAAAUUUGCCAAGGAGUUAAAAGUAUUUUGUUUGAAAAAUGUGUUAAUAUCAACCAUUGGCAAAAGUUUUUUACUAAAAGUUCUUAAAAGGAAUUUAAAACCUACCGUUGGGAAUGCUCUGAGUGUAGAAUUACUCAAUAUUGAGCGAGUAUGCAAGGAUAACACGUGUUGUUUUUGAAAGUCACAGUGGAUUGUUUGAUGCUUAGAUAUCUCUUUUUCGACACCUUAAAUACUCAAGUUGAUUAUUAGAUAUCUCAUUGUUUUGGAAUUCAUCAGUGGUCCUACCUCAAGACGUUCCUUGUUGUAAUAUUGUACUUGAAAAUGAAGCCACGAAGGGAUAUACGUUGUAUAUCUAUUUUCUAUAGUGACUUUGAGACAAAAUUUCCUAAACUUUUUGAAAACUAUCUUUAAUUUUAAAUGUCAGAUUAGAUGAAUGAAAAUGUGCAUAAUUGACCAACGACAUCUUUUUGGUUAUGAAUCUGAGUUUUAUUCCAUAUCAAAUUAAUGACAGGCCCAUAUACACGUCGAACAGAUUCGCAUACACUAAUUUACAUUGAUAAGGUGUCUUUUUUAUUAAAAAAUUAUUUUCUAUUCCAUCUCUUUGUAAUACAUUGAUCUUAUUGUUUAUUGUUUGGUAAUUUGUUUUUUCAGUAUUUUGAGUAUAGAGGAGUUACCUUAAUCUACUACCUUUGGAGUAGCUCGGCCCCGCUGAGGGGUUGGGCCACGUCUGCACCCUGCUAGUUCAGAUGCAAGCCUUUAUUUCAAAGGUUGUCUUUGCAUUCUUCUUUUUUGAACUGGCAGGAGUGCAGGUGUUGAAACCCGGGUUUGACUGAAUUGGAAAAUUAUCCUUCUGAAUCUUCCUGCUCCAUUUUGUCAAUCCCGGUUGAGUGGAUGUGUCUUUCAUCCACAUGGUUCUUGCAUUUGAAUUGCUUGGCCAAGCUCUUUGACAGAGCCUGAUGAUAACGAAAAAAAUGAAAAGACUUGCCUUGACUUGGAAGUAUUGCCGUGGUUGUAAUUAAGGUAUGUGCCAAAGUUUUCAUAGCCUCUUUUUGCAUUACCUUCUUUUGUUAUCAGUUUUGGUUUUAAUCGCAAGCAUGUUGAUGGAUUUGAUGCUAUUCAUUUUCAGUGACUAGGUACUGCUUAGUCUCUCUGACGCUGCACAUGGACAUUAUACAACUAAUGGAGAUUCGUGCACUUUGAGCUUUGGUGCCUUGGUGGAAUACGUGUUACUACCAGAUCUUUGAGCUUUAAGAUGAAUACUUGAUUGCUAUUGGAAUUUUUGACCUAAAUACAUAUUCCAUGGAAAUUUAUGUGCUGCCUCACCUUUAUAUAUAACUUCCUAGACUCCUAGCAUAAAGAUUUGGAACCUGAAUAGAACAUUGUGUAUUUAUUUGUAUGAUCCCAUCAAUGGCAGCUACUUCAAAAUUGCAGUAUGACUUAGUUCCGUGUUUUUUUUUUCACAAUGUUUUGUUUGCCAAAUUGUUGUCGCAAAUGACAGAACUACUUAAAAGUCGUUGCAAGGUGUCAUUUUGAUUUGAUUAUUUAUUGUUUUUUACAUGGAAAUGGUAGUGGGUUCUUCUGCAGAGUUUGUUGUAGAUGGCUAUAGUAUAAAAUGUGCAGUGGAAGUAUCUGUUGUGCGUAGUGGAAACUUAAACACAACUAAUGAUGAUUGAACUAGUGUAUGAAAUAAAAUAAAACGAUAAAAUCAAACGAACAACCACACAGGACACAAGAUUUACAUGGUUCGGCAAUAUGUCUAUAUCCAUGGGGAGAAAGGAUAAUGUUUUUCUUAUAAAGAUAAGAGCUAAUUAGUGAUACCCCCCGGAAUUCAAGGCAAAAAAAGGAACCCCCCCCCCCCCCCCCCCCCCCCAACUCCAAAAAGAUUUGUGUUACCCCCCCCAAAUUAUUUUCUGGUGAAAAAUAGACUUGAACUGCCAUAAAUACCCUUAUGCCACAUCAGACUUUUAAUUUGACCUAAACCAUUGCUGACGUGGCAUAGAUAAGAUAUUAUGGGCUGGGUUUAGAUAUGGUAUAGAUAAGAUAUUAUGGGCUGGGUUUACGCACAGACCCCUGUGCGUGCAUAUUCACAUAGUACAGAUUAAGUGGACAAGGGCCAAGUGAAGCAAUGGGUUAGCUAAAAGGUGAACAAAAAUGAAGAAAGUAUGCACUAGUCGGGGAUUUCGGGCAACUCUUUUUGUUAUUAGUAUUCCAGGUAUACAGAGAACCUGAAAUUAUGGUAGGUGAGUGUGUCAGUGGUGCAUGACUCUGCUAUGUCAAAAUAGAAACCCAUAGGCACGACUGAUAAGUUCCUAAAAACAAAUACUAAAACAACCCAUAAGUAAUAAUAAGUAAAAAACACACGAUAUUUUUAAAGUAGUAAAAUCCAAUAUGGGAAACGUUCAUGGUUGUUCUCGCGAUAAAAAAUAAUUCUACUAGAUGAAAAAGAUAUACAAACUAGGGAUGAGCACGGUUUGGUCGGUUUUGACCAAAACCGAAGCCAAACAGCCUAACAGGUGUUUUGGAAUAAACACAAUCGAAAUCAAACGUGUUGUUUCCCAAAAUCGAACCGAACCGAUCAAAAUAUGUAAAAACCGAAACCGAACCGAACACGUAGUUCAGUUCGGUUAACCGAAUCAAAACCGAACACCUUUUAAGUUGGGCUGAAUUAACUUGGGCUUAAGUAUAAAGACUAACAUGGGCUGAAUUAACUUGGGCUAAAGUGCUAAACUAAAGACUAAUAUGUUUGGUUCGGUUUUAGGUGUUGAAAAUUUUCUAAAACCGCAACCAAACACCCUAACAGGUGUUUUGUAAAAUUUCAAACACCAGCCAAACACUUAAACACCUAAACACCUUCAAAAGUGUUCAGUUCGGUUGUGUUCGGUUCGGUUCUUCGGUUUUGGUCUGGUUUUGUUUAGCCUUAGUACAAACCUAUCAACUACCUGCAAUCACUGUGAAUUGACACUACUUGUUAUCUCUAACACCUUGACUUCACUAGAGUACCUUGAUGUAAGCACAAGACACUCGACUUCUUGAUGAACACACAAGAAGACUCGAAGCCGAACUAUGAAUAAGUUUACACCAGAGUUCCUUGAUGAACACACAAGGAUACUCGACUUCUUGAUGAACACAGAAGAAGACUCGAAGAUAAAUCACUAUAAAAAAAUAAAGAAAGAUGAAUUGGGGAAGGAUAAAAAAUAGAAUUACACAAGGAUCGAUUGAGGAAGAAGAUGAUCUUUGUGGAAGAGCCGACAAACAAAUUAGGGUUCUAUGGAGGCUAGGUUGGAACUCUUACUUUUCCCAUAACACCAAUGCCAUAUUUAUAAUCUAGGGUAUGUACGUACCUCCUAACAUGGUACGUACAUUCCUGAACAAACUGCAACCUAACAUAGCUUAGAAGGAUGAGAAUGAAGACAUAGGGACGACGCUUACACAUCAAGGUACUUCCUAAUAAUGUCGUCAAGGUGAGAUAAUUCCAGAUACUCCUAACCUAAUCACAAAAUGAUGUCAAACAACCGAAUGUCGGUUUCAUGAACUUGAACUCAGACUUCUACUAGUAUGUCCUAGCCUCCUAGUGAUACCUCAAUGACUGAAUACAUGUAAAAAAUAACUUUGCACUCAAGUUUUGAAGAAAGAAAGUACAUAAAGAUUGAUAUUGUAAGUACCAAACCAUGCUAGGUGGAGUAUUGAGGACACAGGAGCUAGAUAAGGAGAGCAAACUGGGAAGUACCCAAUCGGAGUUCAGAACAUUCUAGAGUAUCACGGAUAAAGCACGUGAUGUCUGGCUGUAAAGCAUUCACUGUAUAGUAUGUGAUGGAGAAUGAAACACGUAGGAGAUAAUAGAACCAUAGGAUGCAAAGGAGGAUCCAACGGUUCAAGGAAGGCGGUGAAUAUUGCUAUAAAAGGAUCACGUUAGGGUUCGCUAAAAGGUAACUGUUCAUUCUUUGCUAAAAACCUAUUCUCUAAACCUAGCCGCUUACUGACUUGAUCGUUGGAGCUUUAUCCACCGGUCAUUGUCCGGUGGUCAUUGCAGGUACUACCGUUGAAGCAGUUGAAGGACCCAGCUGAGCUCAUCAAGGAAAGUGGGCUUACAUUUGGCGCUAGAAGAAGGGCCACUUUGCUGCUUCCAGAUCUAGGGUUUUGGAGAAGAAGGUUGAAAGAAGAAAGUAGAGAGCAAUGGUAACACAAACUAGAUCGUCGACAUAUCUCGGAGGUGUAGCAGCUGGAGAUGUUCCGCAAGUUGUUCAUCCUCAAAAUCUCCAAGAUGGAGACGAAGAUACAAACAGAUUGAGAGAAGAGAACUUGAGACUGAGGGAGCAGAUAAGAAGGAUGGAAGAUAUGGAUCGUCAAAAUCUUCAGGAAGGAGAGAACGAAGCAGUCAGAAAUGAAAACCAUCAGAGACCAUUGGAGAGGGUAAUACUAGGAGAAGGUGAAGGAGGAACAAGGCGUCGGAUUCCGGGCCUAAGAGUGAAUGAAGAAGAAGGGUCAGGAGAAUCAGGGGUAAGAGCUCGCGAAGGGAGUCGAAGGGAAGGGAUGAAUGAUGAAGAGAUCCCGGCGGCAGAUCAAUACACCAGACUUUUCGAUAUGAUAUGCAAGGUCCAAGAGGACAUGAGGGCGCAGAACAAGGGAAAGAACAUGGAGGUGACUCAGGAUCUGGAGAGAUUGGGCAAGAGGCCAUUAGCCGAAGUGUGCUACCGUCACGGGUUCCCAAGUAAGUUUCAACCUCCUAAGUUUAAUGAGUAUGAUGGAACAACUGAUCCUGUGCAGCACUUGAAUAAUUUCAAGCAAAAAAUGGCGGCUUGGGAAGGGAGCCAGUAUGACGGAAUGUGGUGUCGACUGUUCCCUAGCAGCUUGAAGGAUAACGCUACAGACUGGUAUCUCAGCUUAUCACCAGGGAGUGUAUCAAGCUUUGCUCAGCUCAGUGAGAUGUUUGUCAAGCAUUAUAUUCAUCAGAAAAGACAGGCUGCAGAUAUAGCGUCACUAUUUGAUUUGGAACAAGCUCCAGGUGAGUCUCUUAGAAAGUUUGUUACUAACUUUAAAAAUGAGAUUUUGAGAACAGAUGGCGGAGUAGAUGAAAGAACAGCUGUGGUAGCAUUUCAGAAGGGUAUAAAUAAGAAGUCUCCUGCAUAUGACUCGAUUGUGUCAUCACGGAUGGCGACUCUGGAUGAACUUUUCCAGAAGACGGAGAAAUACAUCAGACUAGAGGACAUAGCAUCACGGAGAGCUCCAAAAGUGGUACCGGCAUCCGUUAACUCGGUGGCGGAAAAAAGUAAAAAAGGGAGAAGCUAGCUCACGAAGUGAUUCGCCACCAAGAGAUUCCGGCUCUAGGAGGAACAAAGAUGGAUCGAGAGGUCACGACAAAAGAGAAAGGAGGGAGGAUAGAGAUACUUCACCAAGAAAGUUGAUACCACCGAAACCGCUACCGCAACUCACAAUGUCACUAGAUCAAAUUUUGAAGAGAAUAAGAGGAAGAAAGUACUUCCAGGAGCCGUCGGUAAGAUGUAGAACAGUCAGGGGAAAGCCAUUCUGUGAGUAUCAUCAGACUUACAACCACCCUACUGGAGAUUGUUAUGAGUUCAAAUCCUUGAUAUGGAAAUGGAUGGAGGAGGGCCAUUUGAGAGAGUUUAUAGUGGAAAAGAACAAGGAGGAAGACAAAACAGAAAUUCAAGUCAGAGGGACCGUUAACAUGAUCUUAGAAGGAGCUAGAGAAUCCUUGAACGAGGUCAGGAGGAAGAUAAGAAGAGUGAUGCAGAUAAGAGAAGACUUACAAACAGUCGGAGCCGUUCCAGUCAUGCGAAAUGGCAGACCAGUGCAUCAGAGUGAGUCGAUUGGGUUUUCAGAGGAAGACCUCAAAGGAGUAGUCACACCACACAAUGACCCAUUGGUCAUUUCCAUACUCAUUGGAAAUUGGAAUGUCACGAAAGUGUUAGUAGAUUGUGGAAGUGAGGUAGAUGUUCUGUUCACCAGGGGCUUGGAUCAAAUGAAACUGGAGAGAGGUAGCUUGGCAAAUUCACCUGGAGACAUUUACGGAUUCAAUGGGGGAGCAGUGCGGCCAGUUGGAGAGAUAGUCUUACCGGUUACAGCACACACCAGAACCGUCAUGUCGAGAUUUGUGGUCAUAGAUGCUCCAACAGAGUACAAUGCAAUCUUGGGAAGAGAAUGGAUUCAUCUUAUGAAGGCAAUUCCGUCAAGUUACUAUCAGAAGAUCCGUUUUCCGACUGAAGAUGGACAAUAUGAGAUAAGGAGCAAUCAGGCUAUGGCCAAGAAUUUGAAGAUAGCAACAGUAAAAAGUAUGAGGCAUGGCACAGCAGGUGCUGGGCCGUCAUCUAUCCCUGCAUAGCAACGACAGAAGGAGGGUGACGGGUUCCCGCGUGAAGUGCUAAAGACAGAAGAACAAACGGAACCCGUCAACCUCAAUGAGGUAGGGGAUCAGCGGAUCACCUACAUGGGAACCAACUUGGAUGAGAAGGUGAGGUUUGAUCUUUUACAAUUCUUAAAAGAUAAUAUGGAUGUAUUUGCUUGGUCUAUGAAUGAUAUGACAGGGAUCGAUCCAGACGUAGCAUGUCACAGAUUGAAUGUCAAUCCAAGUUUCAAACCAGUCGCGCAGAAAGUGAGAACAAUAAAACCUACACUGGCAGAGGCAAUAAAACAAGAGAUCGAGAAGAUGGAGUCAGCUGGAAUAACAAGAGAAGUUCAGUAUCCAGAGUGGGUAUCUAACAUAGUGGCGGUUCCGAAGAAAAACGGAAAGGUUCGGAUCUGUAUAGACUUCACAAACUUAAACAAAGCAUGUCCAAAAGAUAGAUACGUCAUGCCAAGGGUGGAUGAGCUAGUGGACAGAACAGCAGGCUUUGGGUUACUGUCAUUCAUGGAUGGCUAUUCCGGCUACAAUCAGAUUCCUCUAUAUGGUCCAGAUCAGGAGAAAACGGCCUUCUAUGCUGGUAAGAAAACUUUAUGUUAUACCAAAAUGCCAUUUGGUUUGAAGAAUGCAGGAGCUACUUAUCAGAGGCUGGUAGAGAUGAUGUUCGAAGAUCAGCUGAGGAAGACGGUAGAAGUAUACAUUGAUGAUAUGUUAGUCAAGUCCAAAGAGCCGGAGGAUCAUCUAAAGGACCUGGGAGAAACCUUCCAGACACUGCGUCAGUUCAAUAUGAAGCUUAAUCCAGAAAAAUGCACUUUUGGAGUACAGUCAGGAAAGUUCCUUGGUUACAUUGUUACCAAGAGAGGAAUAGAGGUUAGUCAAGAGCAGAUCAGGGCACUCACGGACAUGGCGUCACCAAGAACACAGAAAGAAGUGCAAGUACUGGCUGGCCGAAUUACGGCAUUGGGAAGAUUCAUAUCAAGAUCCACAGAUAAAUGCAAGCCAAUUUUGAAGCUCUUGAGAAAGAAUUUAUCUUUUGCUUGGAAUGAUGAAUGUGAAGAAGCCUUCCAGAAGUUGAAAGAAUACUUGAGUAGACCACCAGUUCUGUCAAAGCCAUUUCCGGGGGAGACACUCUAUGUUUAUCUAGCAGUGUCGGACAUUGCAGUAAGUGCGGUCUUGACCAGAAGGGAGGCCUCAAAGGAGAGCCCAGUCUAUUUCCUCAGCAAGAAGAUGACUUCACCAGAGACAAGGUAUUCUAGAGUGAAAAAGUAUGCCCUCGCUUUACUAUUUGCAGCUCAAAGAUUAAGACCUUAUUUCGAAGCUUAUAGUCUGACAGUGGUUUCAAACCUCCCUCUCAAUCAAGUGAUGCCAAAAAUCGAGCGUUCUGGAAGAAUGGAAAAAUGGGCAGUUUCAUUGAGUAAAUAUCACAUUCAGUAUGAGCCCAAGAAGGCGGAAAAAUCACAAGUGCUGGCGGAUUUCUUGGCAGAUUUCCCAGUGGAGGAUGUAAUCAAGGGUGCAGAAAUGCAAGAGGAAGAGCAGCUAGAGUAUCUAGAAGUUCAAGAUACCGGGUGGAAAAGCGUCAAAGGAUGGAAGGUGUUCACCGAUGGGUCAGUAAAUAAAGGAAGAUCAGCAAUCGGGAUAGUAGUGGUAACACCAGAGGACACUAAGAUCGAGAUCGCAGAAAAAUUAGCCUUUCCGGCUACCAAUAAUGAGACAGAAUACGAGGCGGUGCUGAAAGGUUUGGAAGUAUUGCUGAAGUUAGAGGUAAAGGAGGUUACGGUUUUCACAGACUCGAAAUUGGUGGUGGAACAGUUCAAUGGAACAUAUAAAGCUCAGACUGGGAAGAUGAUGUUGUACUUGGAGGCAUUGAAGAGGAGUGUAGCAAAGUUCUCGAAAGUUGAUAUUGUACAUCUGUUUAGGGGAGAGAACCGGCAUGCUGAUGCAUUGGCUUACCUGGCAACGGCAACAGAAGAGAAUUCAACCAAGACUAUAACGUUCAUGCAAAGAUCUCAGCCAAUGAUAGAGGUGAAGGAAGUGACUGUCAACCUCAUUCAAAACUUGGGAGCAAGUUGGAUGGACCCAAUAAUAACCCACUUAAAAGGUGGUUCUCUUCCGAAAGACAAAGCAGAAGCUAGAUCGAUUGUGGAGCAAUCCAAAAGGUAUGCAAUGAUAGGGGAAGACCUGUAUAGGCGAUCACCAACUGGACCGUUAUUGAAGUGUGUACACCCAUCCCAAACAGAAGGAGUCAUGGCGGAAUGUCACAAUGGAAGUUGCGGCAGUCACUCACCGGGACGGGCCAUGGCACACAGGAUAAUGAUUCACGGGCAUUACUGGCCAAGUAUGUAUAAAGAUUGUUGCAACUAUGCUAAGAAAUGUCAUGGUUGUCAGAUUCAUGGGAGACUCAUACAUACCCCAGCUGAAAACCUUCACUUUAUAAGCAAUCCGUGGCCCUUUUCGAUGUGGGGAAUUGAUAUUGUGGGAAAACUGGAGAAGUCACAGGGAAGAGAAUAUUUAAUUGUGGCCACAGAUUACUUUACGAAGUGGAUUGAGGCAGAACCUUUACGAAGGAUCAGGGAGGUAGAUGUCAAAGAUUUUAUCUGGACCAACAUCAUCUGCAGGUUUGGCUUACCAAGGGCUAUAGUAGCAGAUAACGGUGCUCAAUUCCGUGGAGAGGAGUUGAAAAAGUUUCUGGCAAGUUAUAACAUAAAGCAACUCUUCGCAACACCAUUUCACCCACAAGGAAAUGGGCAGGCGGAAGCAUCAAACAAGGCCAUACUGGAGGUACUGAAAAAGAAGCUUGAGGAUAAAAAAGAAAAAUGGUAUGAGAAUCUUUGGGAAGUACUAUGGGCAUACCGGACGACUCCAAGAAGGUCCACAGGGGCAACUCCAUUCUCCCUCACUUAUGGGAUGGAAGCUGUGAUACCACAAGAAAUGUUGGUACAUACGGCUAGAAGAAUGGUGGUCGAUCUAGGGAAGAAUAAUGAGAUAAUAGAGAGAGAGCUGGUCUUAGCUGAGGAGGUCCGGGAGCGCGCCAAGCUCAGAUUGGAGGGCUAUCACCGCCAACUAGAGAGGACAUACAACAAAAGAGUCAAGCCAAGAAGCCUAGUUCCAGGGGAUCUCGUGUUAAGAAAACAGAAUCCGCCUCCAGCCAAACUAGAGCCAAACUGGGAAGGGCCUUUUGUGAUAGACAAGGCGGGAGCGAAUGGAGCAUACUACUUAACCUACCAAGACGGUACCCCUCUUGAUAAGCCAUGGAGUAUCAGCAAUCUAAAGAAAUACUAUGCCUAGAGGGCAAAGAUGUAUUAGAGCAACAACAGUAGACAGUAUGUACCUAGAUUUGUUUGAAUUUCAAUGAAAAUAUAAGAUUUUGUUGUUAUUGACUUAUCUAGUUAUAUAUAUAUAGCACUAUUGUCUGAGACCAGGCCAAAGGUCAGACAUAGAAGAAACCCAACUAAGGUUGGUGGGAAAUAACAUAAGUGUAGACUUGGCAGGGCAAGCCGUUAACUAAAUGUUAAAGUCUCUAUAUGAUUAUUUCUUCCCCAUUGAGUUUGAUUUAGACAAUACAGUGGGGUGCCUCUAAAAGAGAAGAGCAAUAGUGCUAGUGUGUUAACGGGGUUGCACUUGCUGAACCGUGACGACGGGAUCAGUAGAAGUAUAGCCUAAUGUUAGCACAUGAGAAACCAAUGCCAGAAGAUAACAAUAAUUGAUAGCAAUUAUAAAAGUUUGCAAUGUUGGAAGACUUUCGUCAAAAUUAAAAAUUAAUCAAAUUACAACUCAAGGCAAGGAGUCUCGGGUGGAAGCGCUAGGAGGCGUUAUCCGCAUUUUCUUGGCAGAAAGAAUAGCGGUUAAGUUUUCCUUCACUUGAGCCUUCACUUGCAUGGCAAGUUGCUCUUUGAAUUUCGCCUCCAUCUCCUCGUAUUUUGAAUUGUAAUCAGCCAGGAGAGUUUCUCUUUGCUCCCGUAGGUCGGCCAGAUACUGCUGAUAGUCAACAUCAUGAGCGGCUUCGAGUUCAUUUAUUUUCACUAAGCUGUCAGCCCAUUUCCCCUCCAACCUUGCUACCACGGUGGCAUGAGCAGCAUCAAGGGCAGCAAUACGCUCACGGUGCUCACCCUCAAGUGCAGCAAUGUGAUUACGGUGCUCACCCUCAAGUGCAGCAACGCGCUCACGGUGUUCACCCUCAAGCCUUUUCCGGUUCUUCUCGAUUUCAGCAUCACGAGACGCGGUUGUUUCUUUCAGUUGAAUCUUAAGUUGCUCGAUCUCGGCUUGAAGAGCCCAUUUCUCGCGAACUAGUCGAUUCUUAUCCACUGUAAUGUCGUGCUUCUCUUUUACAAGAUUUUCUUUUUCCAGCCUAGAAGCAUUUGAAAAAGACUUGACGACGAGACCGUUAACCUACAAUUCAAUAGAAAAGUUAUAGUCCAAAAAAAAAAAAAAAAAAAAAAAAAAAAAGAGAAGAGGGGAGACUUACGAGAGCUAGACCACGGAAAACUGUAUCUCGGUCCUCACCAAAGUUCAUCUGAUCAAUUUUAGCUUGAUCAGAAGGAAAAAUAGAAUUGUAGAUAGCGGCGAAAGCAGUUGCCCCAUUGUCAAAAGCCGAAGCUGAGGGAUCACGGGGAAGGGGAACGGCUGGAGUCUGGCUUGGAGACUGGGGGGAGGGAGAAUCAGCAAGUACUUUACCGCGAGAAGAGGAGCCAACCUUGUUAGGGUCAAAGGCUGGUACAGACUCUGAAGACGAAAAAGGACCUUGGGAAGUAACACCGGCAGGAGGUGUAGAAGUCUUGUCAGCAGUUGGUGCCGGAUUAAUCUCAGCAUCAAGGGUGGGAGAGAAUUGCUGGCCAUCUGCGGCUUGGUCACCUGAUCCAGAUGAAGAAUAAUUAAGAGUACGAUGGCGGGUAUACCUAGGUGCUUCACGAAUAGGUGCAACAAGUGUAGCAACAUCAAAAAUUUCGUGAUCAACAGGAAGUGGUGGAGGCAUCGCACCAAUAAUAGGGGGCUCAUUUGGAUCAAGGAGAGCCAUGGAAAAUUCCUUAAGGGGAGAAGAUGAAGGAUGAGAAGUUGAACCUGGUUGGGCGAGAUUGUCCAUGCCGGUGUCUUCAAAUAGGAGACCACCAUCAAACCCAAGUUCAUCAAGAUUAAAGGAAACCUUGAUUCCACUAAAGUUUGGUUGUCUGGGUUCUUCCAGAGAGUCGCUGGAGGAAGAAGAAGGGGAUCCCGGUAGUUGAGAAGGAGCUUCUGCCAUUUUGGCCCUUUUCACUCUAGGAAUGGAAGGACCGUGUUGCUUUGAACGCGCCAGGUGAACUUCGGGAGAUUCCGGCAAUGUCUCUGGUUCACCUUGGACUGCCUGAAAAUCAGAACUUUCAGUUGAAGAAGAAGAAAGAUCACGACUACAAUUCCUGACAAUCUUUUGAACUCGAAGAGCAGAUAAGAAAGGGGGAAGUCGGGCAGUUACUCUUUUUUGCUUCUUCUUCUUGGAUGGCGCUGAAACUGCGGAAGGAGGUUCACGGGUUCUCUUUUUAGUUAGGAUCGUCUGAAGAGGGAUAUUAUCUCCACCGUCAUCAGAUUCUCUCUCCAACUCAGUAGCGGCAGCAGCAGAAGCUUUACCCUUCCUUUGUGUUGAUCGGGAAGUAGGAGGAAUAGCAGAAGACCUGCCCUUUUUAUCCCUGAGAUAAUCUUUGUGGCAGCAGACGGGUAAGACGUAUUCCCCUAGAUCAAGAUCCUUAACGAUCGGGGUACCGUCUUUCUUUGAGGAAGUAAGCUCACGAAUGGCGGAAUAAGCGUCAGCUCCAGAUCCUAUCAAAGGUUCCCAAGGGGCGUCUUUGCGGGGUCUUAAGGCUUUGCCGUCACCGCGAACCUCUGGGAUAGAAAACAGAUAAAAGAGUUAGACAGGCACUAUCAAAAGGAUUUUCAUCCUAGGAAUGUUAAUAUAUGAACAAAGUAGAAAAAGUGAGGAAAAAACCUCCUAGAUUAAACCGCCAGUAUUUUAAAGGGUUAGAAAUGCCAGGUCCUUUUCCCCCGAAGUUACCAAAGACAAUCAUAGGAAAGUCAGGCCAUUCCUUGUCACUUUCCGGCAAUUUUUCAAUAAUAGACCGCCUACCGGGGCGUUUGACGAAAUAGUAAUAAGGUUGACCACAUUUUUCUUCGCAAACCCGAAGAUAGUAACAUUGACGUAUAUCAGCAAGGGAAACGGUAGUUCCUUCAUUGUUUAGUUGGUCUAGGGCCCGCAAGAUACGCCAAAAGUUACCAAUACAUUGUCCAGGGGCGACUUGGUAAAAAUUAAGUACAUCACGGACUAAAUCAGAAAAAGGAAACGGGCAACCAAAAGCUAUUUGGUGGGCUGUCACCAUAAUAGCAUCUUGGCGGCUAAAUUCGUGAUGUGCAAAGCGUAGGGCAUGUUUGUAGUUGAAAAUUUUUACAUCUUCAGGAAUGUCGUAUAGUUCACAGAGUAGAUCUAAAUCAGGUCUAUAAGGGUAGGUACUGGGCACAUACGAAUCAAGGUAGUAACUGGAAGGGGAAGGGUGAACACCGCCAUCACCUUGACCUCCUUCAACUGUCUUCCUCGAAGAAUCUUUCUUUUUCUGAUUUUGAUAAGAAGCCAUUUAUGUAUAGAGAAAGGCUCACCAAAAUCGUAGAGAAAGAAAGAUUAGGGGCGUAUACAGGAUGACUCCAAGAGGAGGAAAGGAGAGAAGAAAAAUAAUUUGGAAAUUUACGGCAAUCGAAGUACAGAGUAUAUAGCGAGAAGAAGAAAAAUGAAAACCUAGAUCUAAUAAUGGCUAAAAUUAAAAUCAAGAAUAAGGAGAAGAGAAUAACCUGAAUUAGUCGACGGAGGAAGAAAUAAAGACGAGAAUCGAACUUUCAGGGGACCGGACGGUGCGUGAUUUCGUAGAGAAGAUGAAGACUGAAGAGAAAGAUAAACAGAGGAGGAGAAUGAAGAAGAUGAAAGGCAAAUGGAAGAAUUGGGUUAAAGGUUGUAAAUUUAUAUGAGGAUAAUCCCAGGGGUAUUACGGGAAGAAGUAAAAUAGUGACGAGACAGUAGCAUUGGGAAGCGAAAGGACAGCAGUUAAAAUCAUAAGUGCGUCUGGGUAAGAGCAAAAGAGGCACGCGUAGGAGGUUCGGGACUCGAGAGCAUGCGCAAUUAAUGAAUAGCUGGAGAGAUAGGGAUAAGGCAGAGCCUAAGGCACGUGAGGAGCAGGUGAUAGAUUAAGUAAUGAAAAGAACUUAUGACAGUUUUUCCGUCAUCAUAAGGAGUUUACAUUUAGGCGGAGAAAAAGCCUUUGAGCCGCCAUCUAAGAAAUAUAGAUGACGGUCAAAGGAGGGGCGAUGUAAGUACCAAACCAUGCUAGGUGGAGUAUUGAGGACACAGGAGCUAGAUAAGGAGAGCAAACUGGGAAGUACCCAAUCGGAGUUCAGAACAUUCUAGAGUAUCACGGAUAAAGCACGUGAUGUCUGGCUGUAAAGCAUUCACUGUAUAGUAUGUGAUGGAGAAUGAAACACGUAGGAGAUAAUAGAACCAUAGGAUGCAAAGGAGGAUCCAACGGUUCAAGGAAGGCGGUGAAUAUUGCUAUAAAAGGAUCACGUUAGGGUUCGCUAAAAGGUAACUGUUCAUUCUUUGCUAAAAACCUAUUCUCUAAACCUAGCCGCUUACUGACUUGAUCGUUGGAGCUUUAUCCACCGGUCAUUGUCCGGUGGUCAUUGCAGGUACUACCGUUGAAGCAGUUGAAGGACCCAGCUGAGCUCAUCAAGGAAAGUGGGCUUACAGAUAUAAUGAGAAAAGUGGAGAGGAUUUAGUUUUACUUACAAGUUACUCUGAAUGCUUCAAGAAAAUUCAAGUACACAAUUUGGCUUUCGAGCAAGCAGUUGUAAUUGUUUAAUCUCUCUUUCUGGCAGUUCUCCAGGAUAUAGCUUAGAGUUAAAAUAAACCCUUGUUGUUAGUUUGAUAGUCAGUUUAUCCAAUACUCUUGCACUUUUUAUCAAAAAUUUAACAAACCACAUCUUCUCCGCUGUCCAUCUAAAAUGCUGGAUCUCAACUAACUUCAAGUGUGACAAGAAACAUUUUGGAGUUGUUCCCAUUAUUUGAACUUAUCCUUUAAAUUGGAUCGAACUAAGUCCCUAUAUAGGAAACAUAAUUAGAAGCUUUAAAAUGAAACUGACAUGAAAAAGUUUCUUUUCAAAGCCGAAAAGAACACAAAGGAAAAUUAUGGACUUACAUCGGGAACGGAAAUAGAUUCGAUAUUAGGCAUGUUACAGAGUAAAUCUAUGAAUGUUCUACCAUUUGCCUCCGUUUUGUACCACACAGUCAGAUGGAUCAAGCGGGAAAGUGCAAGUAAAUGGAUUGAGUGGUUCGGACAGGCGAGGGCCUAGAUAUAUCAAAUAGUACUUCUGAUAAAAAAGGUAACCCCUGAACUUCAACGAUACAAAAGUACAAGACUCUGCAUAAAUCCUUAUCGCACAAGAAUUUAAAACAUCAGUCCCCCCAUCCCCUAUUUUUAGCAGAAAUGGUAACACUCUUGAUCUUUGACCAUACACAGUAAUCUAGGAAAAAUUCAUCUAGGAUAGACAACUUAAAGAAAUUUCCUGUAUUGAUUGAUCUCCAAAAAAUGCAAUCUAAGAUGCAGGACCUUAAGGCUUGAAAAACAAACCAAAGCGGGUAUCUUCAUCGAGACACUCAUUUCAAUUUCAAUAUCCUCAAUGAUUUAUAAGUAAAAUGCAAUCUGAAAACCGAAAGGGACAUUCCUUAAAAAAUUGAGAUAUUUAGUUCUUGAACUUUACGCCUCAUUGCCUCAUAGAGAUCCAUUCAUUGAAGUGAGUUGCAUCACACUCCUUACAUUUGAGGUUGCACCUAGCAUAUAUUUGAAAUAUCAUUGCAACGAAGCACUUUGUCUACAAACUCACUAAAGAUUCCCUUUGUUUUCCUAUAAUUUGGACUCUUGCUCGAGUCGUUAUACAAAUGUUCAUCACAAAAAUCAAGAUUGUGGAUGAACUUCCAAAAGGCCAUUCCAUCUUGUUGAUAAUACACUAGUACCCAGUGGCGGCCCUGAGGGCAUGCCCAAGAAGCUUUUGAUUGGGGCCAACCAAUUUUUAAAGAAAAAGUGCACUAAAUCUUUACUCAACAUGUAUAUAAUUAUUUAUAGACCACAAUAUUGUCAUAAUUAAUUUGGUAGAUUUACUGGUAGCAACACUAUACCCUACUAAAAAUGCCCUAAGACCAAUUCUUAAGUACUAUUUUUUUAAGAAUUUUUUUUUUCCACAAAAAUUAUUUUCUUAUGUGUUUAGAAGUAGGGGUGUUAAACGAGGCGAACGAGCCAAGCUUUGGUAUGUUCAAACUUGAGCCAAGCUUUUAACAAGCCGAGCCCAAGCUUUUCGGUUCGUUUAACGACCUUAUUUAAAAGAAAUGUAGCUACACAUGUGGGUCAUCUAUGUUUAAAUUUGAAUUGGCCACCUAAAACUCAGGGCCGGCCCUGCUAGUACCCAACAACAUAUUUAGUAGGAAGAAAGGAGAGGAUGUAAUGCAGAAUCCAGAAUGUGUUCAGGUAAAUUGUUAAUUCUAUCGAUCUCACCAUUGCACUGUUGUUUAGAUAGUUUUUGCUUUUUAGAAUUUUUUGCAGAAGCACUUGUUUCCAUGACUAAGGUUCCAACCAGAAGCUAUACUGGAAUAUCUAAGAACAGACGAACUUAUGAUUGAUGAACAAUAGUGUAUGCUUAAUGCAUAAAAGGAAAAGGCACAAACAUUGCAGAUAUCUCUCUGUUUUACUGAUCGAAUCAACUCACUCUCUUGACAGCACUAGUAGCACACGCGAAAAAGUCGGUCGAUCUCUUUUGGUCCUCUUUGGCUGUGUCCAAGUGAAACUCAAGAAUGAAGCAGAUAGGUUCCAGUCGAAGGCAUUCAGCGAUGGGAUUGAGAAGAUAUGGAAGAAGAUUCAGUGAUCCCAGCAGGGUCAAUCUCAUAGGGGAAGUCAACUAGUGCGGGAUAUAAGAAAAUAAUUAUAAAAUAAGAUGACACCUCAAAAAGGAAGAAUUACAUUAUUUUAGUAAGGAAAAUAGGCAUUACUUUCUAAAUAAAACAUUGCGUUGUAACUAUGAGAGAGUCUUUUCUCUCUCUCUUCUUUUAAGUUUUCUCUAUCUGAAUGUCGAAGACAUAUUACUUAUUUAUCAAGAAUGUUUCUAAAUUGAUAUGUACAAUUAUUAUAUAUUUGCCAAGAUGUUCUACAUUUCUAAGAUUUCCAUAUUACUGAAUAAAUAAUCAAAUGUUAGGUUGAACUCCAAGUUAAUUAAUUAAUUCCACAAUGUAGAACAAGAUAAUUAUAUUUUAAAUAAAUAAAUAAAUGUAGCAAACAAAAAUAAUCAAGCUGUUUUCCUUUUAAUAGCAACAAAACUGUAUCAACGAACCAUCUUUAGAGUUAGAGUAUCAAUGAACAAGGUAAUCUAAAAUUAUCAUUUCAUAUAUAAAUUGAAUUAUCAAUUAGGGUUAGAGUUCAUUAUUAGUGGCAAAAAAAGGUUAGAGUUCAUUAAACUUUAGAACAUUUCGUCAUGUGAUGUGAUAUAUUGGUUUCAAGAGUUAUCUACAAAUCCUCCAUUCGUUAAUAUUGUAGAUGAUAUACAGUAGAACCUCUUUAAAUUAAUACUCGAUUCGUUAAUCUCUCUAAGUUAAUGAAAUUCUCUAGUCCCGAUUUACAUCGUAAGUAGCUAAAUCAACACUCGGUAAGUUAAUAAAUUUUAAUAAAAUUGCAUAGGUCCGAUGCUAUUAAUUUAAAGAGGCUCUACUGUAUAAUUCAAUCUAUCUCACUUAUUGAGAAAAGUGAAAACAUUGGAGGUAUGAAGAAGUAAAGUGAAGAACUACAGUAAAAUUAAUAAUAAUGAAUAAUCUCAGCCCUUGUAGAAAUUAAAGCAACUUUAGGUUAGCUGUAGACAAGAUAGAUAUGGACGAAGUGAUUCUCAUUAUUCACUUCUUUGUUCUCUAUACAUAGCUUAGCCAAACAUAACAUGUACAUAGGAAAAAGAGGUGUAUUCACUUGUUAUUUCUCUAAGUACCACAUACAGUAUAUAUAUAGGCAUCACAAAGUCAAUCACUUGUGCUUAGCUAACAUAGGUGAGUGCCACCUAGCAUCCUUUUCUGACACAUCAAUUUGAUGACUAAUCAAGUAUCACUGAUGGUCUACCUAAUCACCUGGAUUAAGAGUGUGGGCUUGGAUUUGGACAUCCACUAUUUACAACACUCCCCCUUGGAUGUACAAUAUCCACCAUAUCAAGAUAUUGCCUCAUAAAACCUUGCUAGGAAAAUCCAGUGGGAAAAAACCAUGGCAAAGGAAAAAAAGUACAAUAAUUGAUUUCUUGAUUGGUGUUGGAUGCACUAUAUACUGCCUCGUUAAAACCUUGCUACGAAAACCCAGUGGAAAAAACCGUAGCUAAGGAAAAAUAGUACAGUGCGCUUAAUGUCCUGGUGGCUCCCCCUGAAGACAACUCCCCCUGAUGAAGAUUAGACUAAGCUCGACUUUCGGCGAAUCCCAAUGUCAUAUGCCAGUUUCUUAAAAGUUGAUGGAGGUAGUGACUUAGUGAACAAAUCAAAGAGAUUCUCAUCAGACCAUAUCUUCUGGACAUUGAUCUCAUUACUCUUCUAUAGUUCAUGAGAGAAAAAGAAUUUUGGAGAAAUAUGUUUUGUUCUAUCACUUCUGAUGUAGCCUUCCCUGAUUUGAUCAGUAGAUGCAGCAUUGGUUGUGGUUGAUGAUACAUCAUAUCUAAACAACAUGCGGGCUCCCCUCAGUUACAGAAACACUAACAGUGAUUUGUUUGGAAGAUCACCAAGAAAUUGUUGUACCACCAUAAGUAAAUACAUACCCGGUUUGCGAUCUUUCUUUGUAUGGGUCAGAUCUAUAUCCUGCAUCUGCAUACCCCUUUAGUUAGGAGCCAUUUGGUGGUUCUCUUGAAUAUUAUAAACCCAUAUCAGCCUCGAAAGUAACGCAUAAUCUCUUUUAAGCCAGUCCAAUGGCGUUGGGUUGGAGCUGACCUAAACCUGGCUAACAAAUUCACUGCAAAUGAAAUGUCAGGUCUAGUACAUUGGACUAAAUAUAAAAGAGCACCCUUAACACUCAAGUAUGGUACUUAAGGAGUAAGUAAAGAUUCGUUCUCCUCUUUAGGACGAAAUGGGUCUACCUUCACAUCAAGUGACCUUACGACCAUUGGAGUGCAAUUUGGCAACAUUUGUCCAUGUUAAAACGAUUUAAAACUUUUUUAGUAUACGUUGACUGAUGGACAAAUAUUCCAUGUGUUGUAUGUUCGAUCUGCAGGUCGAGACAAUACUUUGUUUUCUUGAGAUCUUUCAUCUCGAACUCAUUCUUUAAAUAGUUUGCAGCUUUGGCAAUCUCUUCAGGAGAUCCAAUUUUAUUUAUGUCAUCUCUUAAUCUUAAUAGAGUACAUAUGACAUGGUUUUGCUUCAGGCAGUUAGUUUGCAUCUUUAGCAAUCUCUUCAUGAGAUCUAAUUCUAUUUAUGUCAUCUCUUAAUCUUAAUACAUAUGACGUGGUUUUGUUUUAGGCAAUUUUUAUCCUUCAGGGACUUUCAUAUAAAUAUCAGUAUUUAACAUUUCAUAAAGAUACGCAGUAACCACGUUCAUGAGAUGCAUGUCGAGUCUUUUAAAGACCGCCAGACUAAUUAAGAAUCGAAACGUAAUGACAUCCAUCACAAGAAAAUAUGUCUCUUCAUAAUCAAUCCCGGGUUUUUGCGAGAAAUCUUGUGCCACGAGACGAGCUUUAUACCUCACAAUCUCAUUUUUCUCAUUGUGUUUCCUUAUAAAUGCCCAUUUGUAACCUACAAGGUUAACAUUCUUGGGGGUUAGGAAACACAUUUGUUUUGCAAGAGAAUCUAAUUUUGUUUGAAUUGCAUCCUUCCAUUUUGGCCAAUCAUGUCGUUGUCGACUAGGGCUGGCAAUGGUACGGGUUAGACCCGAAACCCGGUCCGAUCCGUACCGAUAAGAAUAGGUUUGGUAUUGCAUUUUUAUGUAUUGGUACGGGUCUGGUUCUUCAAAUUAGGACCCGAUUGUUAUCGGAUCGGGUUUGGAAUUAGUAGAUACCGAACCGAUAUGGACCCGAUAUAAAUUAUUUUGAGGUUUUGAAUAUUUUAGAUUCACUACCAUUAUUAACAUAUCAUAAAAAUCCUAAAUUCUAGAAAUUUGAUUAUUGUAAAUAAAUGUUUUAAUACUAAUUACCUUAUAAUUAUAUGCAAUUACAUUAAAAACAUAGAAAUAAAUAAAAUCAUAUACCAUAUUUGUAUACUUGAUUAUAUAUAUUUACUAAAUAUAUCUAUCUAGAUUCUUAAAAAGUAACUCAUUUUUUCUAAAUUUGUAUACAUGACAUAUCAAUUUAUGGUCAAAAUACCCGAAUCCAACUCGGAUCCGAUCCAAUAAGAUUUGGUAUGGGUAUGGUUCCUUACUUUCGGACCCGAUAGGGUCUGGUUCCGGGUCCAGGAUUAUUAGUUUUCUUAUUGGUUCGGGUAUGGUAUUUCUAAUAUCCGGUCUGAAUCGGUCCAUUGCCAGCCCUAUUAUCGACAUUCCUCAACAGUAUGUGUAUCAAGACCAUCAUCAUCUGCUGCAAUCUCAGCAGCUACGGCAAAGGAGAAUACGUCAUCGAUGACAAUUUUAUUUCUAUUCCACAACUCUCUUGUGUAUGCAUAAACUACAGAAAUUUCAUCAUUUUCAGGUACCUGAGCCAUAUCUGGGGCUUGUGUUAGUUCUGGGACAACCACUUUGGGGGCUUGUGUCAUUUCAGGGGUUUAUGUCACUUCAGGGACGACCACUUAGGAGCUUAUUUCGCUUCAGGGAUGGCCACUUCGGGGGAUUGUGUCACUCUAGGGACACAUUCCUCUUCAAGAGGUUUUUGUUUAGAGAGAGUGUGUUUUCCUUGCCUUAUAGCCUCUUUAGGAGCGCUAUUUACUGGAGGUUUUGUUUGACUUUUCCUCUUCCAGGGAUUUGAGUCCUUUGACCCAAUAGGUCGUCCACGCUUCUGGCGUACUUUAGACGAUUUCAUUUGCUGCCACAUUUGUGGGAUUUCCUUCAGGGACAUGUCAUCCUUCAGGGACAAAUCGUCCUUCUGGGACUUUAAUUCUCGCAGGCGCAUUAACAACUGCUAUAUUUUAUCUUAUCACUCUUGCAAGUCAAUUUAGGCGCUUCUUCAGGAAGCCACAAAUAUUUACACCGUUCUACAGUAACGGUACUUCUUCAGGAAGUGCUUCUUCAGGAAAUCGUAAAUAUUCACGCUGUUCUUCAGGAACAGAUGUAUUUUCUCCCCCUAACGGCGGGAAAACUGUCUCAUCAACGUGACAAUCUGCAAAUCUAGCGAUACGAACAUCAUAUGUCAAUGGUUCAAGAUAUCUAACAAUAGUUAGAGAAUCAAAACCAACCCAAAAAAUUCUAGACUACGAGACAUAUAACUUUACUAUCCGCAAGAUGAUUAUACAUGCUAUAUGCAUAUCCCUUCACAAUACAAGGAAAAUAUUUAAGUAUACUAUUAGAAACGAAUUUCAAAUAGUAAAACAAUGUAUAUGAGGAUUAUUUGACCAAAUAAAGUUAGAACUUCCGGUUCUUAAUUAAUGGAUUAAAACUUCAAGUCUAAUCAAAGAUGUGAGACUUCAGGCUUGAUCACUAACAAAUAAAAACUUUAGAUUCUUGGUCAAAAUCAAAUAUUUGAAACUUCCGGCUCACUGAGGAUUUUCUCGUUUUAUAAAGACUUCAGGCGUCAACAUCAUUUAUAAAAUAUGAUCAUUAGACUUCGAGUCUUGAUCUAAUCAUACAUAACUUCAAGUUCUUGGAGCUUUAAGCCCAAAUAAAAAUUAAAUUUGAUGUUGAGCUUCUGGUUCAUUAUGGAACACAUCAAUAUCACUAUGAAAUAAAUGGUUAGAACCAAUAAUUUCAAUUUAAAAAAUCAAAUACUUACUCAAUACUUACACCGGUAGUAGUGUAGUAGUUUAAUAUUGUAGUUCUUGUCUAUGUACUUCUUGAACAAUAGAGCAAUCUCGUGCUGAUAACGUCGUAAAAAUUAAAGCAACUUCAGGUUAGCUAGUUGUAGACAAGAUAGAUAUGGACGGAGUGAUUCUCAUUAUUCACUUCUUUGUUCUCUGUACAUAGCUUAGCCAAACAUAACAUGUACAUAGGAAAGAGAGGUGUAUUCACUUGUUAUUUCUCUAAGUACCACAUGCAGUAUAUAUAUCUAUAUAAUAUUACAAGGCGGUCUCAUAAACACAGCCGUUAGAUGCCUAUUAGGACAACCACAACCAUUGGAUGUAGAAUAAUUUAUAUAAUCGAUGUAAUAAGUUGUAAUAAUAGCCUUAGAUGUCCAAAAUUCGAUCUUAACCAUUAGUUGUCUAUUGAGACAAUCGUAGCCAUAUGAUUAAGAGUUUUAAUUGCUAUCACAUUAAAUUUCAGAAAUAUAACCUAUAGAUUAAUUAAUAAUACUAAAUAACCAAUAAUUAUGAGACAUGGGCAAUUAAAAUUAUUGUAAAUUAAUUAAUAAUACUAAAUAACCAAUAUUUAUGAGACAUGGACAAUUAAAAUCAUUGUAAAUUUAUUUUUAAAAUAAUAAUAAAAAUAUUGAAACCAAUGAAUCUUUGGUGUAUAAGGAUUUAGAUGUUCAAAAUUCGAUCUUAACCGUUAGUUGUCUAUUGAGAGAAUCAUAGCCAUAGGAUUAAGAGUCUUAAUUGCUAACACAUUAUCUUGUGGAUUAAUUAAGGCUCCAGAUUUUGCCAAAGAAAAAAAUGUUUUUGCCAAUGAUUAAUUCUUGGUAUUACAUAAUUGCCCUCAAUUAGUUUAAUUUAAAAUUUAACUAUUUAGUAUUCACAAAAUCUUGGAGAAAUCUAUUAAUGCUUUGCCCAUAUAAGGAUCAUACAGAAAUUUUGUAAUUAAAUUUUUUUAUUUUAAAUCCCCAAUUUUGAAUUUAUAUUUAUUUAAAAUACUUAAAAAAUAGUUUUUUAUGUAAAAGUUUAAUAAAUAGAAAAUGAAAAAGAUUCACUUUCAUUAUUGAUUGGUUUAAUCAAAAUUUUGAUAUGUAAUUAGAAAAGAAGAAUCAAACAAUUUUAGUGAAUCAAGAGAUUUGAUUUAACAGAUAUUUUGAUUUUUAAGAAUCUAAAUUCUAAAAAAAUGAAAAGUGGUUUUUGAACAACAAUUGUCAUAUUUAUGGUAAAACAAUUGAGGGUAAUUGUGUCAUAUCAAAAAGUUAUCAUUGGCAAGAUUAAUUUAAUUGAACCAUUAAAUUGCAAAUGUUUACUUACAUAUUAGCAAGAUUAAUUUAAUUAAAAUUUUGUAAUUAAAUUUUUUAUUUUAAAUCUCUAAUUUUGGAUUUAUAUUUAUUCAAAAUACUUAAAAAAUAGUUUUUGAUGUAAAAGUUUAAUAAAUAGAAAAUGAAAAAAGAUUCACUUUCAUUAUUGAUUGGUUUAAUCAAAAUUUUGAUAUGUAAUUGGGAAGAGAAGAAUCAAACAAUUUUAGUGAAUCAAGAGAUUUGAUUUAACAGAUAUUUUGAUUUUUAAGAAUUUAAAUUCUAAAAUAUGAAAAAUAGUUUUUGAACAACAAUUGUCAUAUUUAUGGUAAAACAAUUGAGGGCAAUUGUGUCAUAUUAAAAAGAUAUUAUUGGUAAAAUUAAUUUAAUUGAACUCACUAAAUUGAAAAUGCUUACUUACAAUGACAACUAAAUACUCGAAAACUAUUGUUGUAGGUUAUUUAAACUUUCUUACAAUAAUGGUGUUGACUAAACAAGAUAAAAUCCAACAAUAUCUAGAUGCAGGGUAUAAUGGACCACUGGAAGCAGCUAUGCGCUUAUUGGAAAUAUACUACCUAUAGAGAGACCGAAAGUGCAACGAUUACACCUCCAUCUUAUUGGAAUGCACCGUCUUCUUUUUAAUCCUAAUGAAUCAAAGAAAGCUAUUUUUAAAAGGGCUCAAAAUAAGAAAUCUACUCUAACUGCCUUUUGUUUAUUGUUGUGAUGCAGAUGCUUAUUCAAGGGAACUAACAUAUCAAGAGUUCUCUCAACAUUAUGUCUAGAACAAUGAAGAUUCUAAGUGGACAAGAAAAAAAUAUAGAUUUGCCAUUAGUAGAAUGUAUUUUACAAGUCCUAAUUUAAGUGAAAAAUUCUAUUUGUGGUUGUUGGUUACGAUUGUUAAAAGGUCUUGCACUUUUAAUGAUCUUAAAAUAUAUGACAAUUAUUUAUUUAAUACGUUUAAAAAAGCAUGUGUUGCACGUGGUCUGUUUGAGGAUGAUCAAGGAUACGUAGAAUGUUUAGAAGAGAUUACUCUUAUGGAAAUGUCACACGUUCAAAUUUUUUCCCGAUUGCAGGAAAAUAACACAAGCAUUAAAGCUUAGGAUUGCAUAAGGAGGGUAUGAGAUCCAAGUCUCUACUGAGUACAUUAUGCCACUAUUUUCCAUUCCUCCUAUAGUGGUUGGUAGUGAGACCACUGCUAAACUCUUGGUCACAAAAAUUGGUUGUGAAUGCAGUUGGAGUUGUUCUAUAUUAUCUUUUAGUAAUGUUUGAAUGUUUGUCACAUCUAUGUCUACUGUUUUGGUAAAUAAAUACUCAAUAUAUUUCAAUUAAUUAAGGGAAAGAUACUAUCACUACAAAAGAAUUUAGUUAUUCUAACUGGUAGUAGUUUUCCAUGUUUUGCACUGUACGUAAUUCAAACAAUGGGUCUUGGGAGAGAAAAUGACAACUGUAAUCAAUUUCAAAGUAUUAUGAUUUGGAAAGAGAUAUUUAAAACGUUUACUUAAAUGCUUACACACCAUUCUCUACCCCUCCAUAUGUUCUUCUAUGUGUUAAGAACUCAUACCAAAAAAAUAAAAAUAAAAAAAUACACAACUAAAAUGGAUGCUACCUAUAACUCUUAAAAGAAAGAAAAUGGCUAGAGAAAAAUUUUCAUAUGUUUAAUAUUUGUCUGCAAUCAAAGAUGGAGUGAAAUAAAUACAUAUUUGAAGCAAUUGAAUGAUAUUGGUAAAGUUCAAUAUAUAUGUAAUAUAUGCAACUAUUAUAUCCAAAAGCUCAUUAGGAUAAAAACUAAAGCCAAACGUGUUAUUGUUAUUCUUGAUCAAAGUAAAAGAUAUAUCAACUACAAUAAACACAAAAAUAAAUUAGUUGGAUGCAACAAAUAAAAAAUAUUAAAUCAAAAUUUAAGAUAAAUAUUUAAUAAAAAUUAUAGAAAAAAAAAUUAAAAUAAUAAUAAUUAAAAUAAUCGUGCCUUAGGCACAAGUUAUAACUAGUAAUACAUAUAUAUAUAUAAAUAAUAAUCUACAAAGGGUGCAUAAUUUGACUAGGACUAAUUUAUAUGACUAGGAUUAAUUUCUAUGACUGGGAUUAAUAUUUAGUAUGAUUAGGACUAAUCUACAAAGGGUGCAUAAUUUGACUAGGACUAAUUUAUAUGACUAGGAUUAAUUUCUAUGACUGGGAUUAAUAUUUAGUAUGAUUAGGACUAAUAUCUAUGAUUAAGUCUGAUUAGGACUAAUACACCCAAAACCUUAAUCGUCAAGUCAGUUUGCUAAACCUUAAUCUCUUCCAUCAUCAUCAUCGUCCUCUUUUAACCAGAAGAAAAAACUAAAACAAAAGUGAAAACGAUCUGCAAAUCCCUACUCACACAAUUGAGCACUAAAUAAGGAUUUGAGGGAUUUUGCUUCCUUACAACACCCUCGAAUUGAGUUUGCUUUGCUUCCUUUAUAAUACUCAAAUCACCCAAAACCGAGCUUGACUUAUUAUGGAGUCUGUUUUGUUUGUAGGAAAUUCGUUAGUUAUGAUUUUUAGGUGGUUCUAAAUUCUGCUGAAUUUUUUUUGAAUUUUUCUGUUUGGAUUUUGAAUUUUUAAUCGUCCAACAGCAUCAAGUUCUUCUUAAUCUGUUUGAAUUCAAGCCCAACAACAUCAAGUUCUUAUUUGGACAAUUGUUCUUAUUUUGCAGUCAAUUCAAUUCUAUAUAAACUGAACUAUUAGUUUUGAUCCUGUAUUACAAUCACAAUUAUUGACUGUAAAUAAUGUGAAUAAGUUGCAGAAUACUUGAAUGAGGAUUAAUUUUAAUACUGUAAAACAAUUCAAUUCUUUUAGGCACAUUGAGACCAAGGACGAAAAACAAAGUUAAUGAAUGAUGGAGUAAUUUAUGUAGUGUAGCUAGGUAGCUUGGGUUAGGAGACAUGUCUGUCCCUCUCUUCAAGUACUCCUGCAUUUGCACUGCAGUUAAAUUAUGCCCGUCCAUCGCAAUGAAUUCUUCAGCUGUCAUCCCAAUCUUAUUACUUUUAAAGUUUCAAUGUCUUAGGAACAUCUCAUGACAUUAUAGCAUAAUGAAACUUUAAUAGUUAUCACUAAAAUACACUCCAAAUUUUGUGUCUAGAGUUGCUUUGCUGCAUCUCAAACUAAUAUGCUAUGCUGUCAUAUCAGUUAUUCGUGUUCAUGUAUUCAGCAUUGGAUGUCUUACAGUGAUCUUCAUUCAUUAAGCAAAACUAAAAAUUCAUCGUAUUAGUAACCAAAAUCAUGUCGACACCUUCUUAGCGAAAUCACUUAUAUAGAAAACUAGAACUAAUGUUAUGGUAUUAUUAGGAGCCCCAAGGAAAAUGAUGUAGUCUGAAACCAUUUGAAUGGGGGAGUGUAUAGAGAGAGCUUUGUCAGAUUUGUACUACCUCUUCCUUGGUAGUAUACUAGCCAUAGCUUUCCUGAUUUUGUUUUCUCCUUAUUUUCCGGCCUCCAUGUGAAAUGUGCAUUGCCUAAUAACAAUGAUGCUUUCUUAAAACAAUAAUAUAAGCUGACACGGGUAUAGGUUUCUUCUACAGACAAACUGAAGUGAUGAGGGAAUUUUAAGUUAAUUAAAUGAGUACGGGACUAGAAACUAAUCUAAUGUAUUUUUAAGAAAAAACAAUGAUGUAUGAAAAAUUAAAAAUUAAUAAAUUAGAAUUAAAUAAUAUCAAGCUAAAUUAAUCAAAAAGACAAAGGAAAGUUUGCUGAAAGUGUAUCUAGAGCCGGUCAUAAUCUGAAGAGGGUGGACUUCGACUCUGACGUUAGCCUUACGUCGGUGACCCAAAAUAUAAUAGCAGACAAGUUUUGAAAACCAGAAGAACAAGCUAAAAUCCAGUGUAGACAAUAAUUAACACCUCACAAUGAAUUUUGUAAGAAAUAUUCAAUUUGAUUAAGUACUUUAACUAAUAUGGCAUAUGCUUGGAAUUUAAAUUUUAAACAAUGUCAAAUGGAGCCUAAAAAGUAAAUGGGAUUUGGAUUUAUACAUAUUGUCUCCUUCAUUCCUUCGAAUGUUUUCGUAGUUGAGUAUCCUUCUAGAUACUAUGUUGAGGUUAAUACCUUUAUUUUCACUUUUUAGCAUACAAUUUUGAUCUAUAUUAUCAUACAAACACAAAAAAAUUGUUUUUUCGUUUAAUGUUAGCAGUUUUGUUUUGUUUCCCUGUUUUACUAACUAAGAAAGUUUUAUUUCAACUACUGUUGAAAUCCUAAAACGUUAGCUUGACACUUUCCCCAUUGUUUUGCCCUUCCCAGUAUUCCACUUAUAAUGCUCCCCCGAGCUGACUUCUUUUAUAUCUACAUUGUCUGACAGAGAAAGAACAAUGGGUACAAAAGCCUUCUUCUGAUGAGUCUGUCAUGUGUAACAACUCCAUCCAGAAAUGCCUAGGCUGAUUUGAUAUUGAAGUUUCCACCUAGACUAAGAGCCGAUAUGAUUUUAAAGAUUUAAGUUUGGAUUAUACAUGUUAAGAUCUAAUUAUAGAGUACUUGAGGAGCUGGUGAUAGUUCAUUGUAGUUGUAGGCAUUCUAGAACUUUGUUGGCUAAGUGCAUAGCACAAAAUAUCGCGACAAUUAUAGUGUGACAAGUUUGACCAUUUUGAGAAACUACAAUUUUGUUUAGAAAGAACUUAGUCAAUAUUACUUGAAUGGGAACAAAAUUAGCCCAUUUUAAUUUAGGUACUUAGAAACACUGAAACAGAACACAAACUUGACAAAUUGAUGCAUUAGCUUGAUUUUUCUGGAAGGAACAUUAAUUAGCAUGGGCACUCCAUAUAACUAGGAAAUAUUAUGUGAGUGAAAAAGCAAAAGAAUAAAUUAGCAUAUAUAAUCCAUUUACGUUUUUAUACAGUAAAUGCAGAGAUAAUAUUAAUUGAUAUCUACAUUAAUAAGGAAGAAAAUGCAAAAGGAUAAUGUUCAGAAGAAUAAUGUUAUCAUAUUCCUUGGUAUGAUAAAUAUGGAUUAAGAAUAGAAAUUUGUUGAAGCCAAAUAUGCAUGUUUCGCCAACUAGCUUAUAAAAAUAUUGAAAUAAUUAGAGAUAUUUUGCAUGCAAUUUGAUUAGCAAGGACAAGUGAGCGUUACGCCUUUUCCAAUAACAAAUCUGAAGACCCUUUCAAUAAAAAUAUAAUAGCCUAAAUACCAAUCGAAUAAUACGUCGUCCAAUGACUUGGCAGGUAAUGUUACUUUCCAGAUGUGAGGCUAAUGGAACUGUGCACUUGGGAAUCCUCCAAGAAUGGUUUGGAAUACAUUGGUGGAACUCCCGAGCUUUCACUUUGUUCUGCACUAUCAUAUUUAUCAUGCUUUUGAGAUUAUUUGAGAUUAUGGUACAAAAACUUUUUUGUUCAUUCUUAUAUUUAUAGUUGUGGUUUUUUCUUAAUGGUUAUGAGAAGUACAAAACAUUAUUGAGAGGGCAUUGAUAGUAAAGGGGUAUACAGUACUUCUUGGAAGUUAAUUAUAUGCAAACUAGAUUUAUGUGAAAUUGUUGUUUGCUAUACAGGUAAACUAUGGUUCCAAACAAUUAUUCGAGACUCUGCCAGUGGCCACAGGAGGACUCUAUUGAAUUGGGAACCAGUUCAAAAUAUAAGCUUUUGUUACAGAUUCGUGUUCUCAAAUGAUGCUUCAUCUCCAUGACGUGUAUGAUACAAAGUCUCAAUAAGGUUAAGCAUUUGCCAACUCUACAGUAUUUCUAUAUGACCGUGGAUCUCCAUGUUCAUUUUUGUAACUUAUCGAUUAAUCUCACUUUCUACUUUAAUCGAUAAAUAUAAAAAUAAAAAUUGUUUACGGGUCACCAUGUGGAGAAGUAGAGGUAGAAUCUAAGCAUACUCAAGCUAGCUGGGUUGUGUUAGUAGCUUAAGUAUGAUCCAAAUCUAUUUUCUGUACUAUGACAUGAGCUGAUAGCUUAGCUUUUGAUGUUAUUGCACUUGAAUAACAUUAACUUUUGAUAGUUAGUAGCAAUUGAACUAUGACAUGAGCCGCUUGAAUGAGGCUGAAGCCUUUGAAGCUUGGGUUUUAGAUAGGGCUGGCAAAGUGACCCGAGACCCGUUAACCCGACACGAACCCGACCCGAUAUAAACAGGUUUGGGUUUAGCCUUAUCGGGUUGGCGGGUCAUUUUGACCCGAACCUGUUAACCUGUUUAAUAUACAGGUCGGGUUCAGGUCUGAAUAUUAACAGGUCGGGUCAGACCCGAAACCCGUUAGAAAACCCUAAGUAUAAAAUAGAAAAAUACCAAUACCCUAUCUAUCCUUGUUAUUUUCUUCUUGGCCGCCACCAUGAACAAACCAGUGAACCACCAUUAACGUCUGUUCUUCUUCAUGUAAAAUGGCAGCAUAUCAUUCAUCAUCAACUCUUCUUCCUUUAGAAGUUGAAAUCAAGAUUUCUUCAGCUAAUGAUCUUAAAAAUGUUAAUUGGAAACAUGGUGAUCUCAAAUCGUAUGUUGUUGUUUGGGUUGAUCCUAACUCCAAUUAAUCAUUCUUCUUCUUCUUCUUCAACUUCAUCAAUCUAUUGAUUUUUCUUCUCACUACUUUCCUUCCUUCUUUGCAGCUUUAAUCUGUCUAAGCCAUGUUCUGACGAAUUCUUGUCAACCAAAACGACCGUUUGAAGCAUAUAUUGGAUAGUACUGGUGUUGGCGGUGGUGAUGGCGAUGCUGUUGCUGAGAUCAACGGUGAGAUUAGAGCACGGUUUCUUGGAAUCAAAAGAAGAUGUACUUCUCUCAUUCUUCAGUUGACAAAUGUUUAUGAACAAAACAAUGAGUUAUCGGUUGUGAAUCUUUCAAUCGAAGAAAUCUUGAAAUAUAGAUGUUAGUACGUUUACUGUUUUUCAUGAUUCAUGAUGUUGAUGAAAAAUUGAGAUCCAUUGAUGAUGGUAAUUUUACAGAUAAUACAGAACCAGUUGGUUUUACGCCACGAUUUGGCUUCCAUCAUCCAAAUCAAGAAGCAACACCAUAUUACCCACAGUCAUAUACAAACAUUCAAUGUGUUUAAGAAAGCAGGUCUAAACAGGUCGACCUGAACCCGACCUGUUUAAUUAGCAGGUCAGGUUCGGGUUUAAGGAAAAAGAGUUAAACAGGUUAACAGGUCAGGUUCGGGUUUAAGCGAAAAACACCCCAACCUGUUAAGACCCGACCUGAACCCGACACGACCCGACACGAUUGCCACCCCUAGUUUUAGAUGACGUGAACAACAAAAUUGACUAUAGGAUUUUGAACCAACUUUUGUGUUAAGCUAGCAAGUGCUAGACAUGGUGGUAUUGACGACUGGAUGAAGAGUGAUAUUAAGCCUACCUUUGCUGCCUAAAGCAUUAACUCUUGCUUUCUUGAGUUUAAAUUUUUUUCCUUUUAAGAGCACAAGACAUUAUUUUAUUUAUUUAUUUUUUUUUUUUAUAAAGCAAAACAAGACACUUGACCACUGUGAUUCUAAAUUUCUGAUAUGAUCAUCCGACUAUAUUCUUUCCCAUAAUCAUCUUUUCUUUACUUAUGCGGUACUAUUUUGAUUCACAUUUUCCUUUGAGCAACACAAGACACUUGGGUAAACAAUUUUUUUUUAUCGUGAAUAGAUAUUAUAAAUAGGAACAUAAGGUCAUGUAUUUUAAUAAAAUAUUUGCAUUUAGCAUUUUGUGCAUACUUAGCUGGUGUAGCUCAGUUGGUUAGAGUGUGUGGCUUUUAAACCACAAAGUCGAAGGUUCAAGCCCUUCCUCCAGCAUCUGUAUUUACUGUAGCUUUGAUAUUUUGGCAUAAUAUUCAUAUUUAUCUCAAGUAGCUCAUUUUGUUCGAGUUUGAUGGUUUUUUACCUCGAUGUUGAGUUCAAGCCUUUUUUAUACAAUUUACAUUUUAAUUGCCAGUUUUAUUACAAUUUGGUGCUUUCAACGAUGUAAUGAAAUUAGUUUCAAUUCUUUUAUAUUGUCAUCAUUCUAGCCUAGAACUAAUAUGUUACACGGCACACAGCUGUUUUCAUCCUCGAAAUCGUUGCGAUCUUUAGAAACUAACACAAAUAGUUGUGAAACAUGGUCUUUAAUGAAGAUGAAGAUAGCUGGCGGACGAAAUUGAGCAGAAAAGGGGAUUUUUUUGUCCACUCCAUGGGUUUUUUAGAAGAAUUUUUUAUCAAAGUUUGUUUGGUAAUUUCUAUGACUUUUCUAAGGUCCCUAUUCUAACCCUCAUGUACAAUUGGCCAAAACAGUUUUUCUAAACAAAAUUUCAUAGUAUUCGGUAUCUCCUGAUAUAGCAAUUGCAACAUCUCCAAGCUUGAAACUCUCACCUGUUCAGAACUUUGUUUAUGGUGUUUCACGUGGUGGAUAGACUUGAGCUUUGGCGGAAGUGCUAUCAAUAGUUGAAAGUAACAACAUGCGUACUAUCAGCAUGUUCCUGCAAGAUUGUUGUCUAUUGUUCCUAGCACAACAACUGAUCUUAAAUAUGGCUGAAACAUUGGCCCAAACUUCUUCACGAGCUCACUAUGUUCCCUAGGUACUGAAGGUGAUUUUUUCUUUUUUAUCUAAAUUUUGGACAGAACAUGAAAAUAACAUGUUACUUAUUGUUUCCUUGGCUGUCUAAUUUCAGAUAUCAUUUGAAAUUCAAAGACCGGAGGAAUUGGCUAUUAAAGAAUCUAGGGAUUAAAGCAUUUAUAUGUAAAUAAAAAAUAAUCUAACAACCAACAAUUUCAACAAUAAGUUAUGACAGUAGUGAUAUCCAAAUUAUCAAAAAAUAAUUAUAGGUUCAAAAUGUCAAUAAGAAAAUCGAUGUAUCUCAUUGACUGGAAAGAAGCAAAUGAGAUUAUGGAGGUAUUCUUCGAAGAAAAAAAAAAGAUAUGAACAAACAAAGACUAAGAAAGAAACAGUCAUUGGAGAGAAGAUACAAAUAUAAGAUAAGUUAAGCGUCAAAAUAGAGAAUCUCAACAACAAUAAAAUAAUUUAUUUAUGUUGUUUUGAGAAAAUCCUACAUAUUAUUGUGUAAGGUAGUAUUUUCAAUAGAAAAUAUUACAUUGCCGACUGCAAUUUACGAAUAUGUUAUCAUAUUUUUGAUAAAAUUAUUGUCACACAAACUUCUAUUAAAUGGUUUCUUUGAAAAAAAUGGUUGUUCAUUUCGUCAUACCAUAUGUGAUUUUAACUUUUAUUUCUACAUCACAUGAUUAUCUUGAGUGGAAUAGAUAUUUGUGUUGUUCAUAACAUCAAACUGGUGGCUUUUUUGUCUCUGUCAAACUACGUUAAUCACUCGCUUAGGGAUGGACACAGAUAAUAAGAUAGAGCUAAUUUUUGAAGGUAUUACUAUUGAUAACGGAUGGUAUACAGUUGACCUUUAUGGCAUACUUACAAGUUAUUAUGGACAAAUAAUAUAUCCAAAUGCUUUUUUGAAAACAAUCUGAAAGGAGAAAAUAAUGGAAAUAAUAAGAUCAACAGUAGAAGAUAUACCACCAGAAGAAGAAGAUGAUACAUAUAUGGACGAAAUGGACAAAAUGGACCUGAUGAAAAAAAAGAUGAUAUACAAGAAAUUUCAAAUGGAUACAUUGAGCUGUUAGAGAUAUUUACUCUAAAAAAUUUAGUUAAUUAGAUUAAUUAUUAUAUUUUUAAGAAUAAUUACUUCAAAUAAAUAAUGGUUGACCAACAUCACCUGAGUAUCUGACAGUCAGAAACCUACUCAGUUUUGCACAGUUGUACUGAGCAUUUGUUGUGUUAUAGCAGUAGCUUAAUGUUACCACCUAUGAUGCAAAAUUUUUGUUAUUAGAGUAUUUGACUAUAGGGACCAAUUAUGUGAUUAUUUAUAAUUUAGAUCAACAAUUUUAUCCAUGCAUCAAUGUCCCUAAGACUAUAAAGCGUCAGAACAAUUAUAUUUUUUAAAUAAAAAAAAAUUAUAUUUUUUAGAGUUCUAUUUUCAAAUUAUUAAUGGUAGUCGUGGCAGCGCCACGGGUUUUACUAGUAUAUAUAUAGGCAUCAUAAUGUCAAUCACUUGCUCAGCUAAUAUAGGUGAGUGCCACCUUGCAUCCUUUUCUGACACAUCAACUUGAUUGCUAAUCAAGUAUCACUGAUGGUCUACCUAAUCACCUGGAUUAAUAGUGUGGGCUUGGAUUUGGACAUCCACUAUUUACAACAAGCCCAAAUAUAUGUGUAGAAGAACAUAGAUGACAGUAUUCACCAGAGCUUGGACGCUUGGUUGCAGAUCGAGAACAAAGAGGGAAAUCUGAAAUUUUUAUUUUUUAACGAGGGAAAAGUUUUGCGAAAUACAGGCCCUUUUAGAUAGAGCCCAACCCAACAAAGAAGCCUGGUGUGGUGUUUGAUGAUAAGUAGGGUUCUUUUCUUUUAACUAUAAAUUAUUGUUUCUCUCUUAUCGAUUGAUCUUCUACCAUCAAAUUAGGGUUUCUUCUUCAUCUCCAUUGUAACACAACAUCAUGAGGGCUAAGGUAACAACAACAUCUUUAACUCUUUCUAUCUCUUAAUCUAUUACAAUUGUUGUUCUCUUUCUAUCUCUUAAUCUAUUAAAAUUGUUGUUAGUAAUGUGUAGGUUUUGAUAUAUUGUGUGAUUUGUUUGUUUGUUAUUUGAUUUAUACAACAGUGGAAGAAGAAGCGAAUGAGGAGAUUGAAGAGGAAGCGUCGAAAGAUGAGACAGAGAUCCAAGUAGAUUGAUCGAAAUUAAAGUUUUAUGUUUUUGUUUUGUUUUAGUCGGUAGAUAUAUGUAUCGAUAUCGGAGUUUUCUUUUUAGAUCGGAAACGAUUUCACUUUCGGCGGAUGAAUCGGAAUCGGAAUAGCUACUAAAAUAGUAGUUUUAUGUUUAUCGUAAUUUGUAUCGGAUUUUAUGGGUUUUUUCCUAAUAUCGGAAGAAUCGGAUUAGUAGCUUAUGGUUAUGGUUAUUUGGAUGAAUGUUUGAUUUGAUUAAUUAGUUUGAUUUAGUUUUUAAUUUUUUAUUAAAUUGAAAAGAUAGCAUGGCCUGAGAUUAAGAUUAGUUUCAUAAUUCCUUUAUUCAUGAUUUGCCCCUUGUUUGCGGUUUUUAUUUAAGCAAUUUUUAUCACUAAAAUUAGUCAUGCUUUCACACUAAAAACCUUUACAUGAUAG
This 38997-nucleotide long non-coding RNA is filed under the name Aquilegia coerulea. Its description in RNAcentral is "long non-coding RNA (ACOE_LNC000294)". The stretch from base 35589 to 35663 matches the Rfam family "tRNA". Lineage: Eukaryota; Viridiplantae; Streptophyta; Magnoliopsida; Ranunculales; Ranunculaceae. The record is from RNAcentral.